This 72-nucleotide transfer RNA is filed under the name Methanolobus psychrophilus R15. RNAcentral describes it as "tRNA-Thr (GGT) (tRNA-Thr-GGT-1-1)". It matches the Rfam family "tRNA". Rfam says of the family: Transfer RNA (tRNA) molecules are approximately 80 nucleotides in length. Their secondary structure includes four short double-helical elements and three loops (D, anti-codon, and T loops). RNAcentral also lists the same sequence under 1 other name. Lineage: Archaea; Methanobacteriati; Methanobacteriota; Methanomicrobia; Methanosarcinales; Methanosarcinaceae. The record is from RNAcentral.
GCCUCGAUGGCUUAGGGGUAUAGCGCGUCCUUGGUAAGGACGAGGUCGCGGGUUCAAAUCCCGUUCGAGGCU